UCCCUGGUGGUUCAGAUGGUAAAGAGUCCUCCUGCAAAGCAGGAGACCCAGGUUUGAUCCCUGGCUUGGGAA
Molecule: transfer RNA, 72 nt
Filed under: Bos taurus (domestic cattle)
Lineage: Eukaryota; Metazoa; Chordata; Mammalia; Artiodactyla; Bovidae
Also listed under: 2 other names
Rfam family: tRNA
About the family: Transfer RNA (tRNA) molecules are approximately 80 nucleotides in length. Their secondary structure includes four short double-helical elements and three loops (D, anti-codon, and T loops).
Source: Rfam by way of RNAcentral